This 331-nucleotide long non-coding RNA is filed under the name Nicotiana benthamiana. Its description in RNAcentral is "long non-coding RNA (NBEN_LNC021356)". The record is from RNAcentral. Lineage: Eukaryota; Viridiplantae; Streptophyta; Magnoliopsida; Solanales; Solanaceae.
UGAGAGCAAAAUAGCAAGGGUAUUUGCAAGCAGUUCGUGUGUAAUUCAAGCAUGUAAACCUGAAGCUACAUGAACCAGAUUGAAGAGCUAAUUCCAUAAAGAGUAUUAUGUGACUUUCUUUAUUUAUAGUUCAAUUAUAGUAGGUGUCUUUAUAUUGUACUUUUUAGCUUUAUCUAGAAGCAAUUGUAAUAGGUACUUUGAGUAUUCAAGUUAGAGUUAACUUGAAUUUGUGGCAACAGUUAGAGGCUGGUUGCAACGACGGGAUUAUAGGUAAUCCUUGAAUUUACAACGAGUUCUGUAAAUGUUGUUUUGGCUCAGUGAUUUAGUGAAG